RNAcentral lists this ribosomal RNA (370 nucleotides) under uncultured bacterium. RNAcentral describes it as "bacterial SSU rRNA". It matches the Rfam family "Bacterial small subunit ribosomal RNA", at positions 527 to 896 of the family's 1533-position model. The record is from RNAcentral.
GUAGGUCACAAGCGUUGUCCGGAAUUACUGGGUGUAAAGGGAGCGCAGGCGGGAAGGCAAGUUGGAAGUGAAAUCCAUGGGCUCAACCCAUGAACUGCUUUCAAAACUGUUUUUCUUGAGUAGUGCAGAGGUAGGCGGAAUUCCCGGUGUAGCGGUGGAAUGCGUAGAUAUCGGGAGGAACACCAGUGGCGAAGGCGGCCUACUGGGCACCAACUGACGCUGAGGCUCGAAAGUGUGGGUAGCAAACAGGAUUAGAUACCCUGGUAGUCUACACUGUAAACGAUGAUUACUAGGUGUUGGAGGAUUGACCCCUUCAGUGCCGCAGUUAACACAAUAAGUAAUCCACCUGGGGAGUACGACCGCAAGGUUG